Small nuclear RNA from Pan paniscus (pygmy chimpanzee), 120 nucleotides. Lineage: Eukaryota; Metazoa; Chordata; Mammalia; Primates; Hominidae. The record is from Ensembl.
ACUAUUCUUUUCUUGGAGGUGCCCUGGUGUCCAGUGAGCGUGUAAUGCAGGCAGUACUGCUAACACCUACAUAACACACCCCGCAUCAACUAGAGCUUGGCUUUACCUGCAUAUGAAAAA